UGAAUAUACCGGUUCUUUAGAUCACCGAAGUCAAGCAUCAUUGGGCGCGGUCAGUACUUGGGUGGGUGACCACUUGGGGA
Molecule: ribosomal RNA, 80 nt
Filed under: Caerostris darwini
Lineage: Eukaryota; Metazoa; Arthropoda; Arachnida; Araneae; Araneidae
Source: RNAcentral